Molecule: long non-coding RNA, 671 nt
Organism: Crotalus tigris (Tiger rattlesnake)
Lineage: Eukaryota; Metazoa; Chordata; Lepidosauria; Squamata; Viperidae
Exons: 3
Source: RefSeq, a predicted model, not a curated record
AGCACUCCAUUGCAUCUCAGUUGAUGUAGGACAAGCUUGUGAUCCAUCGCACCUGUGCAAGACCAAAGCAAAGAAAAAUGGCAGCUUUUUUCUCACUUUCUCCUGAAGCUUUUCUGGAAAUCCAGACACGAGAUUCCUGUUUUGAAGCAGACUUACCAGUUAGCAUGAACUGGUAUGCAUUGUCAGAGAUGGAGAAGAUGUGGGGAGGCGCCUCAGUACGCUUUUUGCCCCGAUAACCAGCUACCACCUCUGGAUUGUACACAGGCAACCAUUUGUAUGGAUUAAUAGUGACACAGAAGAGGCCUGAAUAGGUCUGCAUGGAAACCAAGAAUGGUGAUUAAAAAUCUGCCCCCUUUGAUACCCUUCGGUCCUGAUAACAGAAAGAAGAAAGAAACUGGAUGAAAUGCUCAACCUGCAAAGGAACAGACAAAAUAUGUGAUAAUGCAUCCAGGAUCCUCUGGCAGCCCAACAGCUGAGAAUUUGUUAGUCUUCCCAUAUGCAAAAGCUCAAAAUACACACAAAGAAUGGACUGCACAAUAAUUCUUCACCAUAGAAAAGUGCCUUUAAUCUCAUGGCAUUCUAAAGUCCCCUAAAAUAGGAGACUAUUCCUGUAUUUUUAUUUUUUUUUAGAAAAAAGAUGAGGGCAAAGGCAGAUUUAAAAACAAAAGAAA